AGGGAGGGUGCCCUGGGCUCACGUGCCAGCCCUCUAACCACACUAACGAUCUAGGCCCACCAGGCACAGCAGCAAGAAGGCUGGGACCCCAGCCAAGGGCAAAGUCGGCGGGCGCUGGAAGUAGAGAGGCCAGAAAGGCCCCUCGAGGCAGAGACCCUCCGCCCUCUUGCACACCAGGGCCGCUCGUGGGACUCCACAUCCUCCAGCCCCCACAAUCCUGUCAGGGGCUCCUUGACAGUCCUGGGGGUGGAGAGGCCAUCCCGGGGCAUCCCCCGCAUCUCUGUCGUUGCUGCCUCCAUCCUCUGGGGCCUGUGAAUAAAGCCGCAGACCCCCC
Molecule: small RNA, 334 nt
Filed under: Pongo abelii (Sumatran orangutan)
Lineage: Eukaryota; Metazoa; Chordata; Mammalia; Primates; Hominidae
Description: processed transcript
Source: RNAcentral